AGCAGCAGCCGCGGGAAUACGUAGGUCCCGAGCGUUGUCCGGAUUUAUUGGGCGUAAAGCGAGCGCAGGCGGUUUGAUAAGUCUGAAGUUAAAGGCUGUGGCUCAACCAUAGUUCGCUUUGGAAACUGUCAAACUUGAGUGCAGAAGGGGAGAGUGGAAUUCCAUGUGUAGCGGUGAAAUGCGUAGAUAUAUGGAGGAACACCAGUGGCGAAGGCGACUCUCUGGUCUGUAACUGACGCUGAGGAGCGAAAGCGUGGGGAGCGAACAGGAUUAGAUACCCCUGUAGUCCCUGUCUCUUAUACC
RNAcentral lists this ribosomal RNA (303 nucleotides) under uncultured bacterium. Its description in RNAcentral is "partial 16S ribosomal RNA". It matches the Rfam family "Bacterial small subunit ribosomal RNA", at positions 507 to 808 of the family's 1533-position model. The record is from RNAcentral.